Molecule: long non-coding RNA, 165 nt
Organism: Maniola jurtina (meadow brown)
Lineage: Eukaryota; Metazoa; Arthropoda; Insecta; Lepidoptera; Nymphalidae
Exons: 3
Source: RefSeq, a predicted model, not a curated record
AACUAUCACUUUGAGUUGACCAAUCACGUCAGCGGCCUGUGUCGCAUGACACACUGUACGAACUAAUCAUGCCCCUGAACCGAUUUAAACAGACGUGAGUUCUUGGUCCGUGGUUAUUUUCGAAUGACAAUUGUUAGAAACGCGCCUUCUAUGCUUUAUCGUUCA